GUACUCACUUCGGCAGCAUGUAUACUAAAACUGAAACAAUAUAGAGAAGAUUAGCAUGACCUCUAUGCAAGGAUGACACACUAAA
Molecule: small nuclear RNA, 85 nt
Filed under: Canis lupus dingo (dingo)
Lineage: Eukaryota; Metazoa; Chordata; Mammalia; Carnivora; Canidae
Source: RNAcentral